Molecule: small nuclear RNA, 163 nt
Filed under: Nannospalax galili (Upper Galilee mountains blind mole rat)
Lineage: Eukaryota; Metazoa; Chordata; Mammalia; Rodentia; Spalacidae
Description: U1 spliceosomal RNA (ENSNGAG00000006195.1)
Rfam family: U1 spliceosomal RNA
About the family: U1 is a small nuclear RNA (snRNA) component of the spliceosome (involved in pre-mRNA splicing).
Source: RNAcentral
CACGUUACCUGGCAUGGGAGAUACUGCGAUCGCGAAAGUGGUUUUCCAGGGCGAGGCUUAUCCAAUGCAUUUUGGAUGUGCAGACCCCUGUGAUUUCCUCAAAUUUGGGGAAACCCAAUGCAUGAUUUGUGGUAGUAGGGGACUGUGUUCAUGCUCUUCCCUA